CGGUUGAUCCUGCCGGAGGUCACUGCUAUUGGGAUUCGACUAAGCCAUGCGAGUCGAGAGGGUCCGGCCCUCGGCUGACGGCUCAGUAACACGUGGAUAAUCUGCCCUUAGGUGGAGGAUAAUCUCGGGAAACUGAGGAUAAUACUCCAUAGAUCUAGGAUGCUGGAAUGCAUCUAGAUUGAAAGCUCCGGCGCCUAAGGAUGAGUCUGCGGACUAUCAGGUUGUAGUCAGGGUAAAGACCUGACUAGCCUACGACGGAUACGGGUUGUGAGAGCAAUAACCCGGAGACGAUAUCUGAGACACGAUAUCGGGCCCUACGGGGCGCAGCAGGCGCGAAAACUUCACACUGUGCGAAAGCGCGAUGAGGGAAUCCCAAGUGUUUGCUCGUAAGAGUAAACUGUUUCUUUGUUUAAAACGCAGAGAGAGUAAGGGCUGGGUAAGACGGGUGCCAGCCGCCGCGGUAAUACCUGCAGCUCGAGUGGUGAUCAUUAUUAUUGGGCCUAAAACGUCCGUAGCCGGCUUAGUAAAUGCCUGGGUAAAUCGUGUAGCUUAACUAUACGACUUCCGGGUAGACUGCUAAACUUGAGACCGGGAGAGGCUAGAGGUACUCCUGGGGUAGAGGUGAAAUUCUGUAAUCCUAGGGGGACCACCAGUGGCGAAGGCGUCUAGCUAGAACGGGUCUGACGGUGAGGGACGAAGCCCUGGGGCACAAACCGGAUUAGAUACCCGGGUAGUCCAGGGUGUAAACGCUGCUUGCUUGAUGUUAGUUGGGCUCCGAGCCCAACUAGUGUCGGAGAGAAGUUGUUAAGCAAGCUGCCUGGGAAGUANGNUCGCAAGGCUGAAACUUAAAGGAAUUGGCGGGGGAGCAC
Molecule: ribosomal RNA, 869 nt
Filed under: uncultured archaeon
Lineage: Archaea
Description: bacterial SSU rRNA
Rfam family: Archaeal small subunit ribosomal RNA
Source: RNAcentral